This 465-nucleotide ribosomal RNA is filed under the name uncultured bacterium. Its description in RNAcentral is "partial 16S ribosomal RNA". It matches the Rfam family "Bacterial small subunit ribosomal RNA", at positions 28 to 507 of the family's 1533-position model. The record is from RNAcentral.
GACGAACGCUGGCGGCGUGCUUAACACAUGCAAGUCGAACGGUAAGGCUCCAGCUUGCUGGGGUACACGAGUGGCGAACGGGUGAGUAACACGUGGGUGACCUGCCCUGCACUUCGGGAUAAGCCUGGGAAACUGGGUCUAAUACCGGAUAGGACUGCACCGUGAGGGUGUGGUGGAAAGUUUUUUCGGUGUGGGAUGGGCCCGCGGCCUAUCAGCUUGUUGGUGGGGUAAUGGCCUACCAAGGCGGCGAUGGGUAGCCGGCCUGAGAGGGUGGACGGCCACAUUGGGACUGAGACACGGCCCAGACUCCUACGGGAGGCAGCAGUGGGGAAUAUUGCACAAUGGGCGGAAGCCUGAUGCAGCGACGCCGCGUGGGGGAUGACGGCCUUCGGGUUGUAAACUCCUUUCACCAUCGACGAAGGGUUUCUGACGGUAGAUGGAGAAGAAGCACCGGCUAACUACGUG